This 227-nucleotide long non-coding RNA is filed under the name Elaeis guineensis (African oil palm). Its description in RNAcentral is "long non-coding RNA (EGUI_LNC045016)". Lineage: Eukaryota; Viridiplantae; Streptophyta; Magnoliopsida; Arecales; Arecaceae. The record is from RNAcentral.
UUGAUCCAAAUUUAAUUUUAAGUCAAUCAUUCAUCAUCCUAUUUGAGUUGGGUUGAUCAAUUCUUAGGUUAACACUAAUCCAAUUAGGUUAGCAUAGAUUCGAUCAACUAUGACUCAAACCCUAAUUGAAUUAGGUAAAUGACAAUUUGAUCAGCUUAAAUUAAACAUGACUUCUAAUCUAAUUAGAAUUAUGAAUUUGAUUUAAUCUAUAAUCAUUAAUUCUAAUC